AUACUGAAGUGCCGAGUGCCCACGGAAGCCUCUGGAAACCCCGUAGCCUUGUUAGCACAUUGUGCCCUGUAUCGGUCAGGUUUUAUGGUUUAGCUCAAAGUUCGAAUUGCAGACGUGCAAGGGAAGAAAGGAUCAAGAAUUCCAGUACUGGAUGGUGAGCCCCAGCCCAAAGAGUCAACUGAACUGGUAGCUUGUAGCCCGACUGGUUACAAACACAUUGAACACUGAACGAACCUCUUAAAAAAAAAAAAAAA
Long non-coding RNA from Thalassophryne amazonica, 254 nucleotides. RefSeq lists it as uncharacterized. The record is from RefSeq and is a predicted model, not a curated record. NCBI's taxonomy places the organism in Eukaryota, Metazoa, Chordata, Actinopteri, Batrachoidiformes, Batrachoididae. The transcript has 2 exons.